Molecule: long non-coding RNA, 1512 nt
Organism: Homo sapiens (human)
Lineage: Eukaryota; Metazoa; Chordata; Mammalia; Primates; Hominidae
Source: Ensembl
AGGCAUAACCGCAGUAUAUAAAUGAUGCUGAAGCGUGAUCACGUUUUUUCAGGUUCCUGUAUCUUCCUGUCGAGUUGCUGGCUGCCCGAUGUAGAGGACUAGGAAUCAGGAGUCAGUGGCCGUAUGCUGGAGGCUGGAGCCGAGGGAGCGUGGCUCCCCUCGCUGUGGUUGUUGGCAGCAACGGAGAGAUAGCAGCGCGGCUGGAACGGCAAGAGAAAUAGUAUCAACAGAGGAAUGGAAUUAUAACUAGAAAUUUUAUUUUGGUGAAUAAGCUGAGGACUUCCUAGAGAAGCUGUAUGAUGUGAAAUAGUUGCAAAUAAUGACAAAGUAACUCGUAGAUAAGUUACUUUAAGGCUUUAUUUGUUAAGUUACUGCAUAGAGUUGCAAAAGCAUCGACAACAUAUUUCCUCAAAAUGUAGAGUUUACAAGUUUUCUGAGCUCCCUGAAGUUUGCAAUCUAUUCCAGUCUCAGUGUCCUCUAAUUUUACAUCAAUCUUCUAAUGAUCUAGAUUGCCCAUUGCAUGCAGCUAUCUUUUCAUGUUUGAUUUGGUUAAAGGAAAAUCAGCUUUACAUUGUGAAAAUGCAUAUUGUUAGCGAAUUGUGAAAUUGUGAGGAAUUGGGCUGUAAUUACUGAAUAUUGGCUCUCCAUGAACAUGUUGCUAAAAUGUGGGAAGAUGUGCCAGAGAAAUUGUCUCUCUCCUCAGUAGUCCAUCGUUACAGCAACAAUUGUGGAAAUCAGAUGAGAUGUGGAACCAUUUUUGAUUGCCUUAAAUGGCGCAUUUGUAUAUGCCAGCAAGAAUCUAUGCUUCUAUGUAAAUUGAAAAAGGGAAAUGAAACAGUCUGUGGAUGUGGACUCUCUCAGGUUGAACGUAGGUGGAUCAGCUUGUACUCAACAUCUGUUCAGGCUGGAAAUGCAGAGGAAGUUUAAUAUGUUUACUCAAUCAUACUGGUUUCCUGGGUGCCAAGGCAGAAAAUCUAAAACAUAUGACUUCUGUUCACACUAUGUGGGAGCUAUUUAGAACAAAGGUGAUGAUCCUGGAAGAAAAUGUGGAGACGCUAUCUCGGGUACCAGCACAGUUGGACUUCUUUGCUGCCAGCAAUCAACAGCCCUUAAACAUCAACAUUUCAAGGUUUUGUCGACCAGUGUACCAAGUAACCUCUAAAAACAUUUGAGAAGAAAUAGAAAAUAACACUAGAUUAUUUCUUAACAUAUCAAAAGAUUAUCAACAUAUGGCCUUGGAUGCUUUUCAUUCCCCAUCCUUAUAUGUCCAUACAAAAUUAUAAUACAUUUAAUGUAGCAUUCCAAUCCAGAUAGUAGUUUGUGGAGUUAAAUUUCAAACUCCCUUUUUGAAAAUUUCCUUGCAUUCAUAAACACGUUAGCUAUCCAGGACAGCGUGUUGCUCUAGGAACAAAAGUGGGGACUUACAAAGAAGGCAAAUUAUAAGAAAUAUAUUUCUGUCAAAAUUUUAUGAAACAAGGAAAAUCAUAAAAUAAAAAUUAAUAUUAGAAGAAA